CCUCUAGCACCUGGUACUGCAUUCAGUCUGCAAUUUAAUGUGGUACUAUUCUGAAGGUUUUGGCAGCUUCUCCAGGAAGAGGCAGAGAGAAUGAUCUCUGUAAAUAUUUGCCAGUGGGUACUUUCAUGCUACAAUGGAUGGAAUGAGUAGUUGCAACUGAUACCGUGUGACCUGCAAAGUCUAAACAGUUUGCUCUCUGGCCUCUUAUUGAAACAGUUCAUGGAUGCCUGUUUUGGAUGCAUUGAAUAGCAGUAAACAACCAAGCAACCAAUAAGGGAUUUGGAGACAGUUAAGAAGGUUGAAUGCCUGAAUGAGAAACGAUUGAUUAUUCCUCUUGCUGAAGGCUUAUGAAACCGUGAGAUGUAGACUUCUGCCUCUAAAUUGUAUCUCCAGCUCCAACCCUGUCUUCUUGGACAGUGCAGCUGAAUGUCUUCCUCAUUGUGUUACUUGGGCUCUGUUUCCAAAAAUCAGUCAACCAUAUAUGUGUGGGUCUAUUUCUAGACUUGAUUAUGAUCCAUUGACAUGUAUAUCUAUCCUUACAUCAUUCCCGCACUGUUUUGUCAUAUAGCCAAUUAUAGUCUCUAAGCUUAACCCAGCCCAUAUUGUGUUUCAUACAGCCUAUAAGCUAAAAAUGGCUUUUUUAUCUUUAAAGAGUUGUAUAUGGUGCACAAAGCCUUAAAUAUUUACUCUCUGGCCUUUUACAGAAAAAGUUGCUAAUUUUGUGGCAAGUCUUGAAAUAAGCU
Molecule: long non-coding RNA, 743 nt
Organism: Bos taurus (domestic cattle)
Lineage: Eukaryota; Metazoa; Chordata; Mammalia; Artiodactyla; Bovidae
Source: Ensembl